GGUGGUUCUUGGGUGAUGCACCCCAGAAUCAGGCUCCCUCCUCUUUGGUUCUGGGUGCAUCUCUCUAGAUUACA
Molecule: non-coding RNA, 74 nt
Organism: Myotis davidii
Lineage: Eukaryota; Metazoa; Chordata; Mammalia; Chiroptera; Vespertilionidae
Source: Rfam